Leptonychotes weddellii (Weddell seal) is the source of this 3946-nucleotide non-coding RNA. The record is from RefSeq and is a predicted model, not a curated record. Lineage: Eukaryota; Metazoa; Chordata; Mammalia; Carnivora; Phocidae.
GCAUGCGGUAGCCCUGAGAUCCGGGCAGUGUGGACAUUCCUCCACAGUUACUUAGCUGGGUGGUGGAAACAAAAAAUGCACCCUAAUUGGUCAGUCAGUGGCCUUUUCUACGGAAUGAAGGAGGUUUCUGUUUUAAGAAAUAAAGUGACUUCUCGGCUGUUGAUUCACUGCCCACAGGGAGAUUUUUCAGCGGAGGCUUCCUAGCCUCCGUAGAAAUUUGCAUACAACUUCCACUUCCUGCUUCAGAGCCUGUUCUACGGCUUACCUGGGCCUGGACAGGGAGGAGGGAGGCGGGAGCCACCCAAGGUGCAGUGUGAGAAGGAGAGAGCACGACCACCCUGUCGGCCGGUCUGUCUGUGCUUGGUGGUGCUAAGAAACUAGAAUGAACCGAAGCAUUCCUGUGGAGGUUGAUGAAUCAGAACCAUACCCAAGUCAGUUACUGAAACCAAGCCCAGACUAUCCCCUGGAAGAGGGAUCAGAACCACCUGCUCCAAAUCUAAGGAACAUGGCUCCCAACAGCUUGUCUGCGCCCAGAACCCCUCACUGUUCCUCAGGAGAAUUUUCUCAGGCUCAGCCACCCCUGAAACUUUCAAAUCACCUACGGCCUGUGUCCCAGCAGGUCACCUGCCUGCGCACUAAAAUCCUGGAGGAGAGCGAAGACAGCUUCUGGAGGAGACACCCAGACCCGGGCAAAGAUUUUCCCUUGGGCUCCUCCGCAGCCAGCGAGCAUGAGCCCGAGUCUGUGGUUGGAGUCCUCCCUCCGGAGCAUCAGUUUUCAUUUAUGGAAAAACGGAAUCAAUGGCUAGGAUCUCAGCUUUCGGCAGCUUCUCCUGACACUGGCCAUGACUCAGGCAAAUCAGACCAAAGUUUACCUAAUGCCUCAGCAGACUCCUCGGGCAGUAGCCAAGAGACGGUGCAACAGCCGGGGCCCCCCAGGAACCGAGCAGCUCCAGAUCUGCCUACCAUAGACACGGGGUAUGAUUCCCAGCCCCAGGACGUCCUGGGCAUCAGGCAGCUGGAAAGGCCCCUGCCCCUCACCUCCGCGUGUUACCCCCAGGACCUCCCCGGCCCGCUCAGGUCCAGGGAGCUCCCUCGGUUGGAACCUCAGAGGUACCCAGCGUGCGCACAGAUGCUGCCUCCCAACCCUCCCGCACAUGCGCAGUGGAACUGUCAUUACCGUUGUCCUGGAGGCCCCUAUCACCAGGUGCCGUGCUCUCAGUGCCCUUGUGCUCUGCCCGUCAGAACACCUAGCAUCAGUAUGGCAUCUACUCAUGGACUUGUCUACCUCUCCCUCCACAUCAGCAAAGGCGGCCACGACCACCCUCGAGCAGCCUACCAGCAAGUGGUCCAGCCAGCUGUGUGCAGGCAGCCUGUCCCUGGAGCCAGCGUGAGGGGCCCGCACCCUGUGCAGAAGGUCGUCCUGAACUACCCCAGCCCCUGGGACCAAGACCAGAGGCCCGCACAAAGAGACUACUCCUCCCCAGGGCUCCCGAGGGACCAACUGUAUAACCAGCCACCUCAUCGAGCUGGAGUUCCUGAGGAGUCCUUGGAGUGUCCUGCAGAGUUGAGAGCCCUAGGUCCCCAGGCUCCAUCCCCAGCUGCUGUCCCUAGACCCCUUAGUAACCUUCCAGCCAGAGGGACUCUGAAAACAAGCAGUUUGCCAGAAGAAUUACGGAAAGUCUUUAUCACCUAUUCUAUGGACACAGCCAUGGAGGUGGUGAAAUUCGUGAACUUCUUGUUGGUAAAUGGCUUCCAAACUGCAAUUGACAUAUUUGAGGAUAGAAUCCGAGGCAUUGAUAUCAUUAAGUGGAUGGAACGCUACCUUAGAGAUAAGACAGUGAUGAUAAUUGUAGCAAUCAGCCCCAAAUACAAACAGGACGUGGAAGGUGCUGAGUCGCAUCUGGACGAGGAUGAGCAUGGCUUACAUACUAAGUACAUUCAUCGAAUGGUGAGUGGUGAGGAGAGCGCAGCACAGAGGGGCGCUUUCUUCGGUGAAGGCCCGUCCUCCGCUAGAGACCAACCGAAGGUGGCACCGUGAGGGGUGAAGAACCCCAGGCAGGAGUGGGGGAUGUUGGUUCUGGCCCCGGCAACCUUCGGGACUGUGGGCAAGUGACCCCAUCUCUGGGACUCAGUUCCUGUCAGUAGCAAGGGGCGAUUCAUCUGUGAACUCUAACUCCCAGGGCUCUGGAAAACAGUGCUCUGCAGGCUUGGUUGUUCACCAACAAAUGGGCAGUCCCAAGAGGGGCCGGGGACAGGGCUGUGAGGAGAGCGGGCUCCUGCAUCUGUGUCCUAUUCUGUCCCCUGACUUAGACGCAGAGUAUCAGAGUGGAAAGGACGCAUGCCAUUGUGUCACAUGGACUUGGUUCAAAUUCUGCUUCCUCCUGUAUAGUUGGGUGACCGUGGGCCAACUGCCUAAACCUCUCUGUGCCUCUGUGUCCCUCAUCAUACGAUGGGUCGCUUAUACUUACAGUGUUGUUGCGAAGAUUCAAUGAAAUAAUGUCUGUGAAGUGUAUGGCACAUCUCGAUGCUCAGAUCAAGGGAAGGGAUUGUUCUGAGCUCAUGAUAGAUGAGCAGCAGUCCACCACCACACCUGAACCAUGGGGCCUGGCCAAACUAAAGCCAGUGGGAGAAAUUUAUAGGAAGGAUGGCAGAGAUGCUGUGGAGACAGUUCCGCUUCACUAGGACGCUGGACUAGACUUGCAACUUUCAAAUGGUUCUACGGAGUCCCUACUGGGUGCCCAUAGGUGCUGGGGGUCAGGGCGGCUCUGGGCCUCCCACCCCACCUCAGCCAGAGCUGGUUUGCCUUUCUCAGGCUUAUUUGUUUACCAAGGAUUCUGAGAUCUUAAAAAGGCUUGACAUCCACUGGACUAGAACUUGUAAGCUCCAUUCCAACUGAAACAUUCCACAGGCACCUGGAAUGGGCAGAAAGGAUCACAGACUAAGACGGGAGUAUGGGGCAGGACGCUGAAGUGGCCCAGACAGAGUAAGUAAGCGGCGCAAGGCAGGACCCAGGCAGGCCUGAGAUGGGCAGCUUUACCUCAGGGGAAGCUGACUGAAGUCCGGGUCUGUCCUGUGGAUCAGGAGCACAGGAAAAAGGCAGAGUGGGUGGGUGGGUGAGGCUUCCCCAUCUGUCUCCUCUUCUAGCAAGUGCCGACCACUUAUUUGAGAUUAGAACCAACCCAGAGUAAAGGCCAAGGCAGGGUGGUGAAGUCAGAGAAUAAGGCCAAGGAAUAAGGAGCUAAGCAUCCGCCAUUCCAUCCUCUCCCAAUCUGACAGCCCAUGGGCAGGGCCCUGCAAAGGGUCACAGCUGGCUGCUGCAGGUCUGCAUGGCCCCAAAGCACUCCAUGUCCUGUCUGCAUGUCUAGGAGGCUGUCGGUCCGGGGAGCUGACAGCUGGUGUGUGGGAUGGGCUCCCGGUCCCUGCCAGUUCCUGAGGGGACCUGUCAAGCUCUGCUGGUGUGCGGCAAUGCCAGGCAGUAAAACACAGCCCAACCCCAGAGCCUGUCCGACGGUGCCCCGCCAGGAGCCAGAUUGCCUCCAAACUCAGUUUUCUGGGGACAACAAUGUCUUGGGCCCUUCCUUAUCACUGGAGGGGUUGAGGAGGCCAGAUAAGAAGACCUCCAGGCCCCCUCCAGGCAGCAGAAGCCUCUAGAACAGAGGCAAUGAAGAGGUUGCCACAAGUAAUGGCAUCAUCGGGCCAAUGACCUCACAAAAAGCCCGGAUCUGGAAAUAGGAGAGAAAGCAUACACUGCGGCUGUCUGGCCGCCAGCCGGCUGGGCGGCCUAGUGGACAAGCAAAACUUUACGGAUUCAGUGUCCUGGAUGGAAGUCAGAGACUAAAUCCAGUUCUUCCCUUGUAACUUAUAAACGCUGUGCCCUUCCUUUCACGUGUUUUUCCUGGUGAUUGGUGUUUUCACGUUGCACAGUACACGGAUCAUUUUAAACUAC